GCAAGCCUGACGGAGCAAUACCGCGUGAGGGAGGACGCUUUUUGGAGUGUAAACCUCUUUUAUUAGGAAGAAGUGAUGACGGUACCUAAUGAAUCAGCAUCGGCUAACUCCGUGCCAGCAGCCGCGGUAAUACGGAGGAUGCAAGCGUUAUCCGGAAUUAUUGGGCGUAAAGCGUCCGUAGGUGGCUUUUUAAGUCUUUUGUCGAAGCGUGCAGCUUAACUGCAUACGGGCGGAGGAAACUAAGGAGCUAGAGUGCGAUAGGGGUCACAGGAAUUCCCAGUGUAGCGGUGAAAUGCGUAGAUAUUGGGAAGAACACCAGCGGCGAAAGCGUGUGACUGGGUCUGCACUGACACUGAGGGGCGAAAGCUAGGGGAGCGAAAGGGAUUAGAUACCCCUGUAGUCCUAGCCGUAAACGAUGACAACUAGGUGUGGUUCGUAUCGACCCGAGCCGUGCCGUAGCCAACGCGUUAAGUUGUCCGCCUGGGGAGUACGCACGCAAGUGUGAAACUCAAAGGAAUUGACGGGGGCCCGCACAAGCGGUGGAGUAUGUGGUUUAAUUCGAUGCAACGCGAAGAACCUUACCAAGGCUUGACAUCCUGCGAACUUUUCUGAAAGGAGAAGGUGCCUUCGGGAGCGCAGAGACAGGUGGUGCAUGGCUGUCGUCAGCUCGUGUCGUGAGAUGUUGGGCUAAGUCCCGCAACGAGCGCAACCCACGUUUUUAGUUGCCAUCAGGUAGAGCUGGGCACUCUAGAGAGACUGCCGGUGACAAACCGGAGGAAGGUGUGGAUGACGUCAAGUCAGCAUGCCCCUUACGCCUUGGGCUACACACGUACUACAAUGCUACGGACAAAGAGCAGCCAGACAGCGAUGUUGAGCCAAUCUCAUAAACCGUAGCUCAGUUCAGAUUGCAGGCUGCAACUCGCCUGCAUGAAGGCGGAAUCGCUAGUAAUCGCAGGUCAGCAUACUGCGGUGAAUACGUUCCCGGGUCUUGCACACACCGCCCGU
This 1005-nucleotide ribosomal RNA is filed under the name uncultured bacterium. RNAcentral describes it as "bacterial SSU rRNA". It matches the Rfam family "Bacterial small subunit ribosomal RNA", at positions 377 to 1397 of the family's 1533-position model. The record is from RNAcentral.